Molecule: ribosomal RNA, 253 nt
Filed under: uncultured bacterium
Lineage: Bacteria
Description: partial 16S ribosomal RNA
Rfam family: Bacterial small subunit ribosomal RNA
Source: RNAcentral
UACGGAGGGUGCAAGCGUUAUCCGGAUUCACUGGGUUUAAAGGGUGCGCAGGCGGAUAUGUAAGUCAGUGGUGAAGUCUCUGGGCUUAACCCGGAAAUUGCCAUUGAUACUAUAUAUCUUGAAUGCUGUGGAGGUAAGCGGAAUAUGUCAUGUAGCGGUGAAAUGCUUAGAGAUGACAUAGAACACCUAUUGCGAAGGCAGCUUACUACGCAGAGAUUGACGCUCAUGCACGAAAGCGUGGGGAUCAAACAGG